UUCCUAGUCGGAUUCGUUAACCACUGCGCCACGACGGGAACUCCGAGGUGCUUUUCUAUGACUGGCACUUCAUAGAUUAUUUGCUUUGGUCCUCAUAGUAGCACUAAAAGCUGUCAUUCCCCUCAUUUCAUAGAUGAGAACACUGAGGCCCAGGGAGCCCAUUAAGUCCAAGGUCACACAACUGGCUGGUGUAUUGUGAUUCUAAGCCAGCUUUUGCAUGGCAUGAUGCAUAUAUUAAUUCAUUUAAAUUUUGCAAGAACCCCCCAGCUUAUGUAUUAUGAAUCUCAUUUACACACAUGGAACUGAGACCCAGACGCAAAUGGCUUACCUGAAGUCAUACAGUGAGGGCAGAAGCUGAACUUGGACCCAGGUCCCCAGGUGCCUCAUGGGGGCUUCCUUGAGAAGGAGUUUUGCUUCCACCUUAUAAAGCCAGGAGCUCUUUACUCUUGAGAGGCGAGGGAGGGGAUGGGAGUGGGGUUUGAGGAGAGGUGGGAGUAGCGGUGAGUUCUGCUGGGAGAGGCCCCUCCUGGCCAGGUGACAGCAUCUCCACCUCCGUGGCACAUAGACAAAGUCACAUGGCUUCUUCCCUGCAGUUCUGCAGGGAUGCACCUUCCACACUUGUAUGUCCAGGCUGGGGCUCGGGAGACCAAAUUCAAUUUGUCUUUUGGUCUCUCCAGUACAAGCAGCUGGUGAUGCCUAGGUCUACCUAGCAUCAGAUACAUUUCCAGGGAACUUUUAAAAUCUACUGGAUCAGAGUUCCCAUUGUGGCUCAGCAAUAACAAACCCAACUAGUAUCCAUGAGGAUGCGGGUUCAAUCCCUGGCCUUUUUCAGUGGGUUGAAUAUCUCGCAUUGCUUUGAGCUGUAGUAUAAGUCGAAGGCGCAGUUCAGAUCUUGCAUUGCUGUGGCUGUGGCAUAGGCCAGCAGCUGUAGCUCCAAUUCAACCCUUAGCCUGGAAAUAAAUGUUAAUAUGCUGAAGGUGCAGCCCUAAAAAAAAAAAAAAAAAAUUAAAAUUAUAGUAUGUCUGGGUUGAAUUGAGAAUUCUAAACAAACAGAAAGGAGAAUUAAGGAAUUAGAUUGUGUUGCGGGAGAGGGUCAAGAAAGGCUGCUUUGAAAGGGACCACACCUGUGGCACAUGGAGGUUCCCAGGCUAGGGGUCUAAUUGGAGCUGUUGCUGCUGGCCUAUGCCAGAACCACAGCAAUACCAGAUCCAAGCCUCGUCUGCGACCUAUACCACAGCUCACAGCAAUGUUGGCUCCUUAACCCACUGAGCAAAGCCAGGGAUCGAACCCUCAACCUCAUGGUUCCUAGUCAGAUUUGUUUCCGCUGCGCCAUGGUGGGAACUCCAGCUUUAAUUUUUUGUCUCCCACUAGAAUUUAACAUCCAUGAUGACACAGAAUAGUGCCUGUUUUGUUCAAGGCUGUAUGUACCUCUGGUGCCUAGAAUAGUGGUUGGAACAAGUAGGUGUUCAGAAAAUAUUUUUUUUAGCUUGAUUGAAGAAUGCUUGACAAAUGAAAAUUGUAAAAUUUAAGCUGUACUUCUUGAUGUUUUGAUAUACAUAUGCCUGUGAAAUGAUCACCAGAAUCAAGCUAGUUAACACAUGCAUCACUUAACAUGAUUGUGUGUGUGUGUGUGUGUGUGUGUGUGUGUGUGUGUUGAAAGAAAAUAAUUGUGGAAUGAAUUUAUUAAAUGGUUCAGUGAACUCUGUGAUAGCCUCUUUUUGGGACUCUGCCUGAGAAGCCCAUCAACUACUGAGUGGUGCCUCCCUGGCCUGAGAGGCAUGGGCCUUGGGUGCUCUGGCUCAGGUGUCCCCAAAGACUCUUUUCCAGUGUGGGGACCACCUGGCAUCCAUAUUUACCUCAAUGCUGGCUUCAGAUCACCCCUUCUGGGGAAUUAUCUGAAAGUAGACUUUUUUCUUUUUUUUUUGUCUUUUUUAGGGCCGUUCCUGCGGCAUAUGGAGGUUCCUAGGCUAGGGGUUUAAUCAGAGCUCUAGCCACCGGCCUAUGCCAGAGCCACAGCAACGCGGGAUCUGAGCCACGUCUGCAACCUACACCAUAGCUCACGGCAACGCCGGAUCCUUAACCCACUGAGCAAGGGCAGGGAUCGAACCCGCAACCUCAUGGUUCCUAGUCGGAUUCAUUAAUUACUGCGCCACCAUGGGAACUCUGAAAAUAGACAUUUUUUAUCAUGCCUGUCCACAAUGGCCACAGCGAAUUAAAAUGGGUUGCUUUACCAGCUAACCAUUGGGAGUAUUCGAAUGCCCGUUGAAUUUCUCAAAGCCAUACACAUACUUGUGGCCAGAGGAGGUGCUGUCCAUCUCCGGAGGUUCUCCCUGCAGAGUUGGAGCUGAGCCAUGCCUAAGAUAGCAGUGUGAUUCAGGGCUCAGGAUGUAAUAGACUGAAAGGGAGGAAACCAUGGUUGAAUGAACACCUGUUGUGUGUAGCACAUGACCACAAUGGUUAUGUAGUUAUCUCACUCUUAACCAUAUUUGAACCUUGAGGUUGCUGAUUUUUUUUUAAGAUUUUUAUCUUUUUGAUUAUAGUUGACUUCCAAUGUCCUGUCAAUUUCUGCUGUACAGCAAAGUGACUCAGUCAUACAUAUAUAUACAUUCUUUUUCUCACAUUAUCCUCCAUCAUGUUUCCUCACAAGUGACUAGAUAGAGUUCCCUAUGCUAUACAGCAGGAUCUCAUUGUUUAUCCACUCCAAAUGCAAUAGUUUGCAUCUACUAACUCCAAAUUCCCAGUCCAUCCCACUCUCUCCCCCUCCCCUUUGGCAAUCACAAACCUAUUCUCCAGGUCCAUGAGUUUGUUUCCUUUCUGUAGAUACGUUCAUUUGUGCCAUAUAUUAGAUUCCAGAUUUAAGUGGUAUGAUAUGGUAUUUGUCUUUCUCUUUCUGACUUCACUUGGUGUGAGAGUCUCUCCUUCCAUCUAUGUUGCUGCAAAUGGCAUUAUUUUGUUCUUUUUUAUGGCUGAAUAGUAUUCCAUUGUGUGUAUGUACCAUAUCUUCUUAAUCCAUUCAUCUGUUGAUGGACAGGUUGUUUCCAUGUCUGGGCUACUGUGAAUAGUGCUGCAGUGAACAUACGGAUGCAUGUGUCUUUUUCAAGGAAAGUUUGUCCAGAUAUAUGUCCAAGAGAGGGAUUGCUGGAUCAUAUGGUAGUUCUAUAUUUAGUUUUCUGAGGAACCUCCAUACUGUUUUCCAUAGUGGUUGUACCAGUUUACUUCCCACCAACAGUGUAGGAGGGUU
Molecule: long non-coding RNA, 3241 nt
Filed under: Sus scrofa (pig)
Lineage: Eukaryota; Metazoa; Chordata; Mammalia; Artiodactyla; Suidae
Description: lncRNA (ENSSSCG00005000847.1)
Source: RNAcentral